ACGUCAUGGAGUAGAGGAAAUUACUGAUCAGAGAUUGAGACAGAGGACAUGAAAUGAUUAUUUUAUGGUCUUUUAGGAUUGCUGAUUCCAAUAAUAUGUUUGCAAAACUAAAGAUCUGUAUUUAAGUGGCAGCACACAAUAUUUUGACUUGCAUACUUACUGAAGAUUUUGGACCACUUCGUAUUGAGAAAGAGUUACUUAAAAAAUUUGCAUAAAUAGACAUGUUAACUUGUGCAGUUGCAAAGUGUUUGUUUCAGUCCUGUACGUCCUAUUUCCUAAUAAAUAGCACUAUGGGUUAAUAUUGUUCUAGAGAUAAUUCAUUGUUUAGGUACCCUGAAAGUCAACUUGUCAAUGCAAAUUUAUUCUGAAACAGCACUGACAAGCUAUUUGGUGCAAGUCCAAAAUAAACUAAGCCAACUAAGAGUUAUGUUUUUUUUUACAAUUGGUUUCGAUUUUUCUUUUGGAAGAGAAAAAAAAGGCUCAACCGCUAACAAACAAUGGAACAAAACAAUGUUUUACAAAAUAGAAUCAAAAUAUUUUUAUACGUUUUACUAUGACUGUAGUGCAGUCUCCCAAAGUAAAAUAAUUUAAUUUAUUUUAAACUCUGAAGACUCUCUUAUGCAGUUAGGAUGCCUUUAACUUUUACCUGAAACGAUCUUAAUUUGAACUCAAAAUUCAUUUUUUUCCCAUGGCAAAGUGUGGAUCAUUGACUAUUGAUAUUUUCCCAUUUGCAACUAUGUUGAAGACUCCAUUAUGUACUACAAUGUUCAUUGCAAACACCAUGAUAAUCGAUCCUUUCCCAUAGGUUCAAAUAGAUCCGUCAAUUCAUCAGAAAGCAUGAGAGGUAACUGUUCUUUUUUCUUCUAAUUCUAUUCGACCUUGUUCAAUUAUAUGAUUCGUAGAGAAUAAAUCAACAUAGCGGAUACAAUUAAUAUUCAGUCAAUUGAGUAAAAAAAACAACAACACAUUACCUGACACAACGCUCUAACAAUGUUUUAGAUGAUUCGUAAUUGGGAUCAGUAAAGACAAAGCGUGCUGUUGCUGCAACCAUCUCAAGGACUCUUAAAGGGCAAGUGCUAAAUCAAAACAUGUGACACAAACUCGCAACUGUCGUGAAUCAAUCAGCACCCGCUCAGAUCGGGAUGAUAGAUUCUGAACCUGUUGUGAUCAUAACAUACAAGGAAAAAUGAUAUCAGUCAAAAACACGGUAUCACAAUAAUAUAUUCAAUAUUAAGUAGGCAUUGUUUAUUGGAAAGUUGUAAAUUUUAAGGUCAAGAAUCCAUUUAUCAAGAGGCAAGUUCAGCACACGGGCAUUGCCUAGAGUGCUAGAUUGUGUUCCCAAUCAGGAACAUCCACAGAAAUGGAUCUCUAUUCCUAGUUGUGCUGGUACAAUCUGAUUGCUCGAAUACAAAUUAGGCAGAGAUGGCAACCUACUGCAGCUUUUUUCUAACUCUACAGGGUGGCCCAGACCUACCGUACCAGGCCUUUUUUCCGGUUAAUUUGGGUCGCACGAAGUCCAGGAUCGCGGGGAUGAACAGGGAAUUGACCCCAAGAAAUCCAAAUUUCAUGGUCCCAGAGCCCUCCUGGCGCCCCUUGGCGGUAAAAGGGGGGUCCGUACUCCAAAAGUCAGGGUUUAUGUCAAAAUUUUGAAAUUAUUUCAUCGGAAUCAGAACGUACGGAAAUUUUUAACUUAAAUCGACACCAAGAAAUCCAAAAUCGGCCCAUCCGUGUCCAAAAUACCGACCCCUAAAGGUGGGGGACAGAGCCCCCUUUCAAAAAAUUCAAGUUAGUUAAAUUGACGUGGAGACUCGGAAAAAAUGAGUAUUUAUGGGUAAUCGACCCCAAGGAAUCCAAAUUUGAGGGUCUAGUUGUCCUCAGAGACUUUUCUAAUGGGGCACAGGGGUAACCUCCAUACCGGUUAAAUUUAAAAGUUCAGAGUCCCCUGUGCCCCAUCAGAAAAGUCUCUGAGGACAAUGGGACCCUCAAAGG
Molecule: long non-coding RNA, 1989 nt
Filed under: Bemisia tabaci
Lineage: Eukaryota; Metazoa; Arthropoda; Insecta; Hemiptera; Aleyrodidae
Description: lncRNA ENSSWEETPG012610
Source: RNAcentral